GCUGCCUCACUAGCUCUUCAGAAAGGAGAAUUCUUUUCCAUUUCCGGUAAUUUGCUCUCGUCAGCUGUCAAAAUAUUGUUUAAACUUGUGCGCAGUUUGGCUUCAAACAAACUAUUUCGCCAUUAAUGUCUGUAAGUCAGAUAGUGGGACAGUCAAGGCAGUGCUUGUCAAGACUUCCUGCUUUGUCUGUCUGUAGCUCUGACAUACCUGCCAGAGGCUGUCAACCAACUAGAAAGAUGUCAACCAAAAUAAAAAUGGCAGACCGCCUUAAAGGCACUGAGAGGAAUGUCUGGGUUGAAUUUGGAAAGCUUGCUGCUGAUUAUAAAGCCAUCAAUCUAGGUCAGGGAUUUCCAGAUUAUCAUCCACCACAACAUGUCCUUGAUGAGUUUGCAAAAACUAUAACCAGUUCGGAAAAUUCACUGUUCCACCAGUACACUAGGUCUUAUGGCCACCCACAUUUGGUGAAAACACUGGCCCAGCUGUACAGCCCUAUCAUGGGCAGACAGAUUGAUGCUAUGUCAGAAGUGAUGGUCAGUGUUGGAGCAUUUGGUAUCUUAUUCUCUACCAUACAGGGGCUGGUCAACCCCGGAGAUGAGGUGAUUAUAAUAGAACCAUACUUUGACUGCUAUGAACCAAUGGUUAAAGUGGCUGGUGGAACUCCCGUGUUUAUUCCUCUAAGACCAUCCAAAACAGAGGGAACAGUGACCAGUCACGACUGGAAGUUAGACAAAGAAGAACUAGCCAGCAAAUUUAGUAGUAAAACAAAGGCUAUUGUCUUUAAUAAUCCAAAUAAUCCAGUUGGUAAAGUCUACAAGAUGGAUGAGGUAGAGAUGAUAGCAGAUCUAUGUAAGAAACAUGAUGCCGUAUGUAUAGCUGAUGAAGUAUAUGAGUGGAUGAUCUACUCUGACAAUAAACACAUCAAAAUUGCCACAUUACCAGGGAUGUGGGAAAGAACAAUCACAAUUGGCAGUGCUGGUAAGACCUUCAGUGCCACUGGUUGGAAGCUCGGCUGGGGUAUUGGUCCAUCAGAGCUCAUACAGGCUUUAUCAGUAUUACAUCAGAACUCUAUAUACACCUGUCCAACACCUAUACAGGAAGCAGUUGCAUCAGGAUUAGACUAUGAGAUCUCAGUAUUUGGUGACCAAGAAAAGUGCUAUCUGCAGUCACUGGCACUAGAACUGCUCCCAAAGAGAGACAUGCUGGCCAAAGUACUCGCAGAAGUUGGCAUCACACCAACAAUUCCAGAGGGUGGAUACUUCAUGAUGGCUGAUAUUUCUAAACUGGAUGUUGAAAUCCCAGAUGAUGGUACAGAUGAUCCAUAUGAUUUCAAGUUUAUUAGAUGGAUGUGCAAGGAAAAGAAAUUGUCAGCAAUUCCACCAACAGCAUUUUAUUCUCAAGGAGACAAAAAAUUGGGAGAAAAGUUUAUCAGAUUCUGUUUCAUCAAGAAUCCCAAGUGAGAAUUAUAUUCUGUUUGUCUCACUAAUUGUGUUAUCCUCAAUGAAGUGAACACUGUGAUUUUCACCAUCUAUUAUCUGUAAUAUCCUAACCAUGCCUUUCUCAAGUUAAUUAAAAUGAUGAAUGAUGAAACAUUAGAGGCAGCAUCUAAAGUGUUACGCUCUUGGAAUGUGGCUGUUAAAAAGUAAACCAAUAUUGACUUACGCAAGAUGCCAUAUAGUCAUGGAAAUGUGUGAGGGAUUUUAACCAGCUUGACAAAACUUCGUCUUCAACAAUGUGAUAUAUAGCAAUCUAAAAUUUAUUAAUAUUAAAUCAUAAAUGCUUAGUAAUUAGGUUUAUAUGGAAACUGAGAGUGGACAACUUUUAUAUUGAGUACUAUGAGAAAUCAUGUAUAUAAAAUCCAAUUCAGGAAUAUUGAUACUCCAUGUUGCGAAAAAGAAAUGCAACGCCUGAGAACACAAUUUUGAGGUUUUCAGAAUUUGUUGUCUUACAGAUCUUAUUUUUUGAGAGAGAAAAAAACUGGCUAGUACUAGCUGUGGUGAGGUUUUAACCUUGGUUAAAUAAGAAUUAUUAAGCCUCAUUUCUUUUUCAGUGGCUGUUGAAAUAAAUUUAAAUGCAGA
Molecule: RNA transcript, 2075 nt
Organism: Mercenaria mercenaria
Lineage: Eukaryota; Metazoa; Mollusca; Bivalvia; Venerida; Veneridae
Gene name: kynurenine--oxoglutarate transaminase 3-like
Exons: 15
Source: RefSeq, a predicted model, not a curated record